ACUCCUACGGGAGGCAGCAGUGGGAAUAUUGGACAAUGGGGAACCCGUAGCAUCCAGCAAUGCCGCAGCUGAGUGAUGAAGGCCCUAGGGUUGUAAAGCUCUUUACCAGGGAUGAUAAUGACAGUACCUGGAGAAUAAGCUCCGGCUAACUCCGUGCCAGCAGCCGCGGUAAUACGGAGGGUGCAAGCGUUAAUCGGAAUUACUGGGCGUAAAGCGUGCGCAGGCGGUCUGUUAAGCGAGAUGUGAAAGCCCCGGGCUCAACCUGGGAACUGCAUUUCGAACUGGCAGACUAGAGUCUUGUAGA
This 304-nucleotide ribosomal RNA is filed under the name uncultured bacterium. Its description in RNAcentral is "bacterial SSU rRNA". It matches the Rfam family "Bacterial small subunit ribosomal RNA", at positions 335 to 655 of the family's 1533-position model. The record is from RNAcentral.